Molecule: ribosomal RNA, 492 nt
Filed under: uncultured bacterium
Lineage: Bacteria
Description: partial 16S ribosomal RNA
Rfam family: Bacterial small subunit ribosomal RNA
Source: RNAcentral
AGUGAACGCUGGCGGUAUGCCUAACACAUGCAAGUCGAACGGCAGCACAGUAAGAGCUUGCUCUUACGGGUGGCGAGUGGCGGACGGGUGAGGAAUACAUCGGAAUCUACUUUUUCGUGGGGGAUAACGUAGGGAAACUUACGCUAAUACCGCAUACGACCUACGGGUGAAAGCAGGGGAUCUUCGGACCUUGCGCGAUUGAAUGAGCCGAUGUCGGAUUAGCUAGUUGGCGGGGUAAAGGCCCACCAAGGCGACGAUCCGUAGCUGGUCUGAGAGGAUGAUCAGACACACUGGAACUGAGGCACGGUCCAGACUCCUACGGGAGGACGCAGUGGGGAAUCUUGGGCAAGGGGCGAAAGCGUGAUACAGCCAUACCGCGUGGGUGAAGAAGGCCUUCGGGUUGUAAAGCCCUGUUGUUGGGAAAGAAAAGCAGCAGGUUAAUCCCCCGCUGUUAUGACGGUACCCAAAGAAUAAGCACCGGCUAACUUCGUG